UACGUAGGGGGCAAGCGUUGUCCGGAUUUAUUGGGCGUAAAGAGCGUGUAGGCGGCUAGAUAGGUCCGUUGUGAAAACUCGAGGCUCAACCUCGAGACGUCGAUGGAAACCAUCUGGCUAGAGUCCGGAAGAGGAGAGUGGAAUUCCUGGUGUAGCGGUGAAAUGCGCAGAUAUCAGGAGGAACACCGGUGGCGAAGGCGGUUCUCUGGGCCUGACCUGACGCUGAGGAGCGAAAGCGUGGGGAGCGAACAGG
This 253-nucleotide ribosomal RNA is filed under the name uncultured bacterium. RNAcentral's name for it is "partial 16S ribosomal RNA". It matches the Rfam family "Bacterial small subunit ribosomal RNA", at positions 524 to 776 of the family's 1533-position model. The record is from RNAcentral.